Long non-coding RNA from Solanum dulcamara, 801 nucleotides. RefSeq lists it as uncharacterized. NCBI's taxonomy places the organism in Eukaryota, Viridiplantae, Streptophyta, Magnoliopsida, Solanales, Solanaceae. The record is from RefSeq and is a predicted model, not a curated record. The transcript has 2 exons.
CAAAAAGUAAAACACUAAAAACUUUUCUCUCUCUAGCAAUAAACUAGCUAAAAUACCCAAAUCCAUUUUGCUAAAGCCUUAGAUUUUUUUUGCUCUCUCUCUCUAAAACAACACUAAAAUCCCUAAAAUAUGUCUCUCUCUAUAGCAAUACGAUGAAAUCCCUAAAUCCAUAUAGAGAUUAAAGCUUAAAGACAACAGCAAAACUUUUCAUACACCACUGAUAUCUACAUCAAGAAACACUUUCAGGGCUCAACGAAGAGAAAUGGACCUUAAAAAUGACAUCAUGAAGAAAGUGAAGCUUGAAGAGGAAGUUGGGAAAGAAAGUGAAGAAAAUAUGUUGUACGGGAGCAUCUCCACGUCGCGCACUUUGCUUCAGGGAUUGAUGCUCAAUUUGGAAUUAAUUAUGUGGCUAGAAAGAAAGGUCCGCGCCAGGUCCGCGAUAGAAGGAAAAUCGCCAAAGAAGAAAAAUGAGAAAUUCCACAGUGCAGAAACAUGUCCGCAUCGCGGACUUCAAUGCAGCUAAUUGAUCUUCGCAUUUUUCGAGUAUACUUGUACCUUUUAUUAAACAUUAAGUUUUUCUUUCAAGGUUUUGACGAAGAAGAGCAAAGGAAGAACUUCUCUAGGGUUAUUUUUCUUCAUCUCUUUCAUUUCAUUUGAAACUAAUUUCUUUAUUCCAUUAAUUGGUUCUUUGAUUGUAUUCAAGACUAUGAGUGGCUAAAUCCCCCUAUUCUAGGGUUGUAGCCACAAGAUGAGGGUUUAUAUGCUUUGCUUUGGUUAAAAAUGAGUUUUUUCAUACAAUUA